This 95-nucleotide ribosomal RNA is filed under the name Enterobacter asburiae. Its description in RNAcentral is "partial 16S ribosomal RNA". It matches the Rfam family "Bacterial small subunit ribosomal RNA", at positions 1 to 92 of the family's 1533-position model. The record is from RNAcentral. Lineage: Bacteria; Pseudomonadati; Pseudomonadota; Gammaproteobacteria; Enterobacterales; Enterobacteriaceae.
AAAUUGAAGAGUUUGAUCAUGGCUCAGAUUGAACGCUGGCGGCAGGCCUAACACAUGCAAGUCGAGCGGUAGCACAGGGAGCUUGCUCCCGGGUG